CGGGGUGGAGUAAUGUCUGGGAAGGCUGCCUGAUGGAGGGGGAUAACUACUGGAAACGGUAGCUAAUACCGCAUAACGUCGCAAGACCAAAGAGGGGGACCUUAGGGCCUCUUGCCAUCGGAUGUGCCCAGAUGGGAUUAGCUAGUAGGUGGGGUAACGGCUCACCUAGGCGACGAUCCCUAGCUGGUCUGAGAGGAUGACCAGCCACACUGGAACUGAGACACGGUCCAG
Molecule: ribosomal RNA, 231 nt
Filed under: uncultured bacterium
Lineage: Bacteria
Description: partial 16S ribosomal RNA
Rfam family: Bacterial small subunit ribosomal RNA
Source: RNAcentral